This 31-nucleotide non-coding RNA is filed under the name Rattus norvegicus (Norway rat). Lineage: Eukaryota; Metazoa; Chordata; Mammalia; Rodentia; Muridae. The record is from RNAcentral.
UGGAACAUAAUAAAGACUUGCAAGUUCCAGG